GACGAACGCUGGCGGCGUGCCUAAUACAUGCAAGUAGAACGCUGAAGAAGGAGCUUGCUGCUCUGGAUGAGUUGCGAACGGGUGAGUAACGCGUAGGUAACCUGCCUGGUAGCGGGGGAUAACUAUUGGAAACGAUAGCUAAUACCGCAUAAUAGUAGAUGUUGCAUGACAUUUGCUUAAAAGGUGCAAUUGCAUCACUACCAGAUGGACCUGCGUUGUAUUAGCUAGUUGGUGGGGUAACGGCUCACCAAGGCGACGAUACAUAGCCGACCUGAGAGGGUGAUCGGCCACACUGGGACUGAGACACGGCCCAGACUCCUACGGGAGGCAGCAGUAGGGAAUCUUCGGCAAUGGACGGAAGUCUGACCGAGCAACGCCGCGUGAGUGAAGAAGGUUUUCGGAUCGUAAAGCUCUGUUGUAAGAGAAGAACGAGUGUGAGAGUGGAAAGUUCACACUGUGACGGUAUCUUACCAGAAAGGGACGGCUAACUACGUG
This 495-nucleotide ribosomal RNA is filed under the name uncultured bacterium. RNAcentral's name for it is "partial 16S ribosomal RNA". It matches the Rfam family "Bacterial small subunit ribosomal RNA", at positions 28 to 507 of the family's 1533-position model. The record is from RNAcentral.